Long non-coding RNA from Mauremys reevesii (Reeves's turtle), 569 nucleotides. RefSeq lists it as uncharacterized. The record is from RefSeq and is a predicted model, not a curated record. The transcript is spliced from 3 exons. NCBI's taxonomy places the organism in Eukaryota, Metazoa, Chordata, Testudines, Geoemydidae.
UCCGGUUUUCGACUGGAAAGUCUGGUUGAAAGGGGACCUGUGCAGCAUCCGGUCAGUACUGCUGACCAGACACUAAAAGUCCGGUUACCACAGUAACUGCAUCGGACUCUGCCGCCGGGAGGGUGGGAAGAGCAGCUGCUGCUGCUGGAUAAGGAGGGAUCCUGCCAGUGCAUGGCGUUUGAGGAGUGGAGCCAGCAGCUGGGCUCACCACCAUAACAGCCCAUCCUGCCUUCUCAGCCUCUCAGGGCCCCAGCUCUCUGCAGCCCCAUGCUCCAGGGACCGAUUCCCCCCUCUGCCCUGCCAUGCCCCAGCUGGGCAGACAGGCUCUGCAUCAGCACCUCCCAGCCCAGCUCAGCAGGCAGCACCCCUUUCAUAGGAGGAUGCAGCAAAUUCAUGAUGAAAGAAGCUACUUGGGAUUUAGCCAUUGGAUUUAGAUGCUUCCUCUUGGUCUCGCCUAUAGGAGCACAACUACCACUGAAAAUUAGGCCACUUAUUUAAGUACCUAACUCUGGAAGAGUUUUGCCUCAGGCCAUAAAUGCCAGUUGCUCAUUAAUUCCCCAGAAAUGCCA